UUUAAGGGUGGUGACACAGCUAAGACCCGAGAGUCUCUUUCAAGACACUGAAUUUGAGCAGAAACCAUAAGGAUACUCAAAGGACCUGUGACUCUCAGGAAAUGCAUCAAAUGAGAGUGAGAGGUGAAACCAUUUCAAGACAAUGGCAGGAAAAGCAUGCUGAAGAUUGAAUCAAACCUUGGCUGGAAAUAUUUGAAGGGAUCUAGCCAGUCCACAAUGAAAGCUUCGUUGCCCCCCUGUGAGUCUUCUGGCAGAAAUGAUGCCGCCUGUAUUC
Molecule: long non-coding RNA, 274 nt
Organism: Cyprinus carpio (common carp)
Lineage: Eukaryota; Metazoa; Chordata; Actinopteri; Cypriniformes; Cyprinidae
Exons: 4
Source: RefSeq, a predicted model, not a curated record